This 272-nucleotide ribosomal RNA is filed under the name uncultured bacterium. RNAcentral describes it as "partial 16S ribosomal RNA". It matches the Rfam family "Bacterial small subunit ribosomal RNA", at positions 362 to 628 of the family's 1533-position model. The record is from RNAcentral.
AUUUGGANAUGGGCGAAGCCUGAUCCAGCCAUGCCGCGUGUGUGAAGAAGGUCUUCGGAUUGUAAAGCACUUUAAGUUGGGAGGAAGGGCAGUAAGUUAAUACCUUGCUGUUUUGACGUUACCAACAGAAUAAGCACCGGCUAACUUCGUGCCAGCAGCCGCGGUAAUACGAAGGGUGCAAGCGNUAAUCGGAAUUACUGGGCGUAAAGCGCGCGUAGGUGGUUCAGCAAGUUGGAGGUGAAAUCCCCGGGCUCAACCUGGGAACUGCCUCC